RNAcentral lists this ribosomal RNA (253 nucleotides) under uncultured bacterium. RNAcentral's name for it is "partial 16S ribosomal RNA". It matches the Rfam family "Bacterial small subunit ribosomal RNA", at positions 524 to 776 of the family's 1533-position model. The record is from RNAcentral.
UACGUAGGGUGCGAGCGUUAAUCGGAAUUACUGGGCGUAAAGCGUGCGCAGGCGGUUUUGUAAGCCAGAUGUGAAAUCCCCGGGCUUAACCUGGGAAUGGCAUUUGGGACUGCAAGGCUGGAGUUUGGCAGAGGAGACUGGAAUUCCUUGUGUAGCAGUGAAAUGCGUAGAUAUCUGGAGGAACACCGGUGGCGAAGGCGGCAUCCUGGACCAACACUGACGCUGAGGAGCGAAAGCCAGGGGAGCAAACGGG